Sceloporus undulatus (fence lizard) is the source of this 1290-nucleotide long non-coding RNA. RefSeq lists it as uncharacterized. Lineage: Eukaryota; Metazoa; Chordata; Lepidosauria; Squamata; Phrynosomatidae. The record is from RefSeq and is a predicted model, not a curated record. The transcript has 3 exons.
UGAAAGGAAAGCAGGGAGGGGAGCCAGACCUAGCCUCCCUGUGGAAAGGCAUUCCAGUGGGUGGGAGCAGCCUCUGAGAAGGGUCUCUUUCAUGUUCUCACCAAGUGAGCGUGAGAUGAUGGGACUGAGAGAAAGCCUUCCCUAGCAGAUCUUUGGACUCUGGCAGAUACUGUAAAUCCCAAGGCUACAAAUAAGAAUAAAAAGAAGGAAAGGAAGAAGAUGAUGAUGAUUACACCUUCCAAAAUCUUCCUUGGCUAGCAUAGAAUUCUGAGCAAAAAAAAACUGCCCUGGUUGUCCAAUGUAGAGUGCUGAGGAACAUUGUUGAUGAAGAAUGGCAUAUAUCUCUUGCAGUCUAAGAAAACCAGAUUGGUAAUGACUUCCCAGAGGACGUUUUCUGUUGCCGCUCCAAAAAUCUGGAAUGACCUGCCAGAGGAGAUCCGCCACAUAAGAAGCCAAUAAAAACGGAUCUCUUCCAGUAGGCCUUCCCAAACUGACCUCCUCGGAAUGUUCACUCUCCAGUUACAUAGCCUGGACUGUGAUUGUGAUUGAUUUUAUUGACUAUUUGAUUGGGAGCAUUUUAUUGGGAAUUGUUGUUUUAACGCUAUUUUAGGGUGGGAGGGAGAUAGGCAAUUAGGAUUUGAUAUGUUUUGCUAUGUUUUUACUUGUGGCUUGUUGAGUUGUAUUUUCAUUGUUCUUUUGUUUGUUGUUACCUGCCCCUAUCCAAUACAAGGAGAGGCGGGAUACAAAUAAAUAUUAUUAUUAUUAAUCACAUUAGAGAUGAUCAACUGAAAGUGAUUUUCCUUUAGGUUUGAUCUUGGUAUUACUAUGAAUGCAUCUACACUGCAGAAUUAAUGCAGUUUGACACUGCGUUAACUGACAUGGCUCAAUGCGAUGGAUUCCUGGGAUGGAUUCUCUCUCAGAACUCUCUGGUGUCAUAACAAAUAAUAAAUCCCAGGAUUUCAUAGGAUGGGACCAUGACAGUAAAAGAACUGUCAAACUGCAUCAAUUCUGCAGUGUAGCAGCAGCCUAUAUCUGCAAUAUAUCAAAGGCCCUAAGGAUGUCAUCCAGAACAUUCAAAGUGCUUUUACUUGUUCGUCCUCUCUUUUCUCCCACAAUUAGACUUUCCAAAUCUCAAGUUAUUUCCACUGAAUUUACAAAGAAAAGUGUUAAUGGCCUUAGAGGGAGUGAAAGGACAGGCCCAACACCAUCGGGCCUGAAGAGGAAGAGCCCUCCCCUCCCUCCUUUCCAACUGUAUCUUCUGGCCUUAGAGGGAGUGAAAGGACAGGCCCA